Molecule: transfer RNA, 73 nt
Filed under: Sphingomonas sp. WG
Lineage: Bacteria; Pseudomonadati; Pseudomonadota; Alphaproteobacteria; Sphingomonadales; Sphingomonadaceae
Rfam family: tRNA
About the family: Transfer RNA (tRNA) molecules are approximately 80 nucleotides in length. Their secondary structure includes four short double-helical elements and three loops (D, anti-codon, and T loops).
Source: Rfam by way of RNAcentral
GGCGCGUUGAAAAAUAAGGCUUUCCUCUCGAUUCCUAAUCGAGAGGUCGGAGGUUCGAAUCCUCUCCGGGUCA